UCCCAUGUGGUCUAUUGCAAUGGUUAGGGUUCGUAGUUGUCACUCACGCGAGUCGGGUUCGAUUCCCGGCAUGGAAA
This is a non-coding RNA of Caenorhabditis brenneri, 77 nucleotides long. The record is from the annotation of a GenBank genome assembly. Lineage: Eukaryota; Metazoa; Nematoda; Chromadorea; Rhabditida; Rhabditidae.